Molecule: ribosomal RNA, 440 nt
Filed under: uncultured bacterium
Lineage: Bacteria
Description: bacterial SSU rRNA
Rfam family: Bacterial small subunit ribosomal RNA
Source: RNAcentral
GAUGAACGCUGGCGGUAUGCCUAACACAUGCAAGUCGUACGAGAGUUUUUAACUCUAGUGGCGGACGGGUGAGUAACACGUGAGAAUUUGCCUUUAGGAGGGGGAUAACAAUUGGAAACGAAUGCUAAUACCCCAUAUGCUUUUGAGUGAAAUGGAUUUUAUCCGCCUAGAGAGAAGCUCGCGGCUGAUUAGCUUGUUGGUAAGGUAAGAGCUUACCAAGGCGACGAUCAGUAUCUGGUUUGAGAGGACGAUCAGACACACUGGAACUGAGGCACGGUCCAGACUCCUACGGGAGGCAGCAGUGGGGAAUUUUCCGCAAUGGGCGAAAGCCUGACGGAGCAAUACCGCGUGAGGGAAGAAUGCCUAUGGGUUGUAAACCUCUUUUUCAGGGAGGAACAAAAUGACGUGUACCUGAAGAAUAAGCAUCGGCUAACUCCGUG